UACGUAGGGUGCGAGCGUUAAUCGGAAUUACUGGGCGUAAAGCGUGCGCAGGCGGUUCGCCAAGUCAGGUGUGAAAUCCCCGGGCUUAACCUGGGAAUUGCGCUUGAAACUAGCGGGCUUGAGUGUGGCAGAGGGGGGUGGAAUUCCACGUGUAGCAGUGAAAUGCGUAGAGAUGUGGAGGAACACCGAUGGCGAAGGCAGCCCCCUGGGUCAACACUGACGCUCAUGCACGAAAGCCAGGGGAGCGAACGGG
This 253-nucleotide ribosomal RNA is filed under the name uncultured bacterium. RNAcentral's name for it is "partial 16S ribosomal RNA". It matches the Rfam family "Bacterial small subunit ribosomal RNA", at positions 524 to 776 of the family's 1533-position model. The record is from RNAcentral.